Molecule: long non-coding RNA, 1426 nt
Organism: Girardinichthys multiradiatus
Lineage: Eukaryota; Metazoa; Chordata; Actinopteri; Cyprinodontiformes; Goodeidae
Exons: 3
Source: RefSeq, a predicted model, not a curated record
GAAAACUCAGGAACCAGGAGUGACAGGAGAGCAGGAUUCACAGAAUAACAGUUGGAUAAACAGACAACCCGACAAGGAGGGAACAGAAAACACGGACUGAAAUAGAGGAUUGACAGAAAUCAGUGACCGAAGGAUCCCUGGGGACUACCUGACGCCGAGGAAGCGCUACCGCAUAGUUGCCCCAGGCACGGUGGCUGAAAGCCCGGUGCAGCAAUUGGAAAGGGGCAGAAAACCCUAACCCUAACCCUGCUUCAUUCUCCCCUCACCUGUUAACAAGAUACCAAGAUACUUGCUCUCCUCAACUUGAGGCAGGACCUCCCCUCCAACUUGAAGAAGGCAGGCCACCCUUUACCGGUCGAGAACCAUGGCAUCCUCCUCCUUUUCUCUUUCAUGCAUUUCAAUUACUCAUAAAAUAAGCUUAAGUAGUUAAAUAAAACAAUCUGCAGGAAUUCCCAAUUUUUUUUAUCCAAUUAUUCAAUUAAUUGUCAGAAUAAAUUAUGAUAAUCAUUAGCUGCCUCCCUAGUGAGAAUACAUUCCAGCAGCAGGAUGACAGCAAUCAGGAAACAACAUGAUGUCAGGAAAAAAGAACUUUAUUCUUAUUAGUCUGGAAUAAAUACUUUUUGUUAUAUUUGAUUAUUUUAUAAGAUAGAAAACACAGUAGUUACAAAAUAAAAACAAGAUCUAGUUAAGUCAUUAUAUUUAAUCAUUUAAACACACUUCAAUAAAUAUUUUUGCUUCUUUUUUUUUCUUUAGUUUUACAAAAAUGGAGUGUGAGAACAGCUGAGCGAACAACAAUGGAUUAAAGGUCAGUAGAGUAGACACCUGUCAACACAAACACCUGCAUAGGCCACAGGAAUACACAAACUAAAACCGUUACAGAUUUCCAGGUUUUCACACACGUGUCCACAGCACUAUUACAGCUACAUACAACUUUCCAAUCGGUCUAUUUGAGCACUAGUCUGCACAGAGAUGUAUCAUCAUACAGUACACUGAAGAACACAAUCAGAGCAAGCUUUAUAAGACACGUGGGUAACAGAGGGGCCGCAGCACCCCGAUCUUUAGUUCUUCCAACACAGGGUUUAUUUCAGCCUGCUGUGAUUCCCAUCUGUGUGUGUGUUGUGUAAACCGAGGGUCAGUUUAAACUUGCACUCAGGGAGACAAAGAGUUAAACAUAUCAGCUGCAAGAACAAGUUUCUUGCAGCUUUUGAAAACUGUUAUUACAUUAGCCCAUUUUUAUGGGAUAACUUACCUGACAUGCAGAGGUCAAACCUGUUUUAAAGAAGCCUAAUGUUGAUUCAAUCAGAAAAAACAGGUUCAUAUCAAAUCUAAUGUUUUUUUUUGGAAAAGACCAAAGGGUUCGUUGUUUAUAAAUGCACUCCUUUGUGACAAUUUGUUUUUUAGUGCUUAAUGACCUAAAUGACAUAUA